GUUGAAGGUCCAGUAGAGUCCUGCAGAGGGUCCGGUAGGUCCUGUUGAAGGUCCAGUAGAGUCCUACAGAGGGUCCGGUAGGUCCUGUUGAAGGUCCGGUAGAGUUCUACAGAGGUUCCUGCAGGUCUUGUUGAGGACCCGGUAAAGGGUCCGAGAGGUCCACAAAGACACCUAAAAUUGCUGCUGGUCAGAGGUCUGUUGUUCACUUCCCCAGAACACAAUGAGCGGAGGUGCUGUCGAGCAAGGCACGUUUAUCUACAGUUGAUCCUGAAGGAGAGCAGGAAGUCUGGGUCCCUCUCAUCAACUCCUUCAUGUGGUUCUCCAGGCUCCUCAGAGAGGAGACGUUUCCACUCUGUGAGGGUUUGAUGGUUGAUGGGGGUGAAGAGGAGGAGGAGGAGGAGGAGGAGGAGGAGCUUGUCUGCAGAGAGGAGACAACAGCUUAUGUUUUCAUUCAUAUCUUCUCACAAGUUACAUCAAAAUGAUCCUAUACAAAUCCUGGGUGAAUGCAAGAAAAACAGAAUAUUUGUUAUGUUAUAUAGAAAUAACAACAAAUCCUCAGCAUGUGGAUGAAACUAAUUAUUCUGACAAUAAAGUAAUGAUAUAAAUACAAAUAAAUCCUGAAUGUAAUUCAAAAUAAUGUCAGAAAAUCAACAAACAAAGUCAAAAUAUUAAUGUAAUUAAAGGCAGAAUAUAAAUAGUCCGAAUGUAAAGAGUCGUCGUCCCCGUGAGGGUCUCUGGUUGGUGGGAUUGUCGUACCUGUUGCGAGCAGUUGCCAGGGCGACGGCUCUGUGAUGCGGCGGUUUGGCGGCGGCGGCGCAGUUGGGGUGGGGGGAGAUGUGGGUGCUGGACGCCGGCGGCAGGAGGCGGGGCUUCACUGGCACCACGGGUUUGAGUGGAACAGCAACCUGACGAGAAAUAAAUGUUUCAAAUUAGAAGUUUUAAAAAGCUUUACAGGAAGUGAUUCACUGAUGCAGACAAAGGGAGUGUAAUUAAUUACUGAAUAAAACCGUUGUGGUGAAAAUCCGAUGGUUCUAAAUCCAACCAGAAACUGGCGAGCCCCACGCUCUCUCUAGUUCCUGAACGCCCCACUUCUGUCAAGUAUUGUGAUGUCAUAGCCCAGAACAACCAAUCACAUCGCACCUGAUGCCGAUGGAACCAAUAUAAAUCGUCAGUUCUCAAUCGGGAUCAACUAUUACAUCACUUCCUGUGCUAGGUACAUGCAUGCUACGUGCUAACACUUAGCAGCUAGUAACCCGGCUGUACCUGUGCAGGUGUGAGUGGGUUAGGGGGGAGGGACUUGUUGGCCGGAGCUGAUCGACUCCCCCGCAUUUAGGGGACAUAGUUAUAGAUAUGAAUAUGUAUAGUAGAUAUGAAAUACUGUUUGUUGGGUUCACUGUCGAUAGUGUGAGUGGGAACAUUCAGCUCCCCCUAGAGGCUCAGAGGGGACCUGCAGACCCCCCGGGGUGUGAUAAAUACAAUGUAUUGUGAUUAUACAUUAUACGUGUGUUCAUCACGUAAAUGUUAGAGCUCAUUUUAAUAACUUUACAAACUGUAGGUAGUUCAAUCAUGAUGUUUUAUCACUGAUUAAUUAGCUGAUAAGAACAAUAAUGUGAAUCUGUAAAGAAACUGAAAGCCGCCGCGUGUUUCUGCGUCUUUACGCGCUGGUUUCACUUCCUGGUUGUAAAGUCCUGCGUGUGUUGCAGAGCGAUUCACCUCCAGAACAACAGGUGGAGUCACGUGUUUUGUUGAAGACGACCUGGAGAGUCACGUCUUGGUGUGUGGAAGUCGCUGGUUGCUUUAUUUACUCCAAGAGCAUAAACAUAACAUAACUAGGCUUUAGAGUCGCAUUCGGUGUGAACGUAACAUCACACACACACACACACACAUUACCGGUUGUGUUGGCGGCCUUUGUGCGUCGGACCUCCCACACACACACACAAGAACUUCUUACGGAACCGUGGGCAGCGCAGCACGAGGAAGAGGAGCAGUUAGGGCAGGACGAAGAGGAAGAUGACGAGCAGCGCCUCUCGUACCGGGUCAGACCCUGGAGGAGAGGGAGGAGAAUUAGU
Molecule: long non-coding RNA, 2069 nt
Organism: Gasterosteus aculeatus aculeatus (three-spined stickleback)
Lineage: Eukaryota; Metazoa; Chordata; Actinopteri; Perciformes; Gasterosteidae
Source: Ensembl